GUUGGGCACUCUAAGGUGACUGCCGGCUAAAAGUCGGAGGAAGUGGGGAUGACGUCAAAUCAUCAUGCCCCUUAUGACCUGGGCUACACACGUGCUACAAUGGGCGGUACAAAGGGUCGCGAACCCGCGAGGGGGAGCCAAUCCCAAAAAGCCGCUCUCAGUUCGGAUUGCAGGCUGCAACUCGCCUGCAUGAAGCCGGAAUCGCUAGUAAUCGCGGAUCAGCAUGCCGCGGUGAAUACGUUCCCGGGCCUU
Molecule: ribosomal RNA, 252 nt
Filed under: uncultured Anoxybacillus sp.
Lineage: Bacteria; Bacillati; Bacillota; Bacilli; Caryophanales; Anoxybacillaceae
Description: partial 16S ribosomal RNA
Rfam family: Bacterial small subunit ribosomal RNA
Source: RNAcentral